This 301-nucleotide ribosomal RNA is filed under the name uncultured bacterium. RNAcentral describes it as "partial 16S ribosomal RNA". It matches the Rfam family "Bacterial small subunit ribosomal RNA", at positions 509 to 807 of the family's 1533-position model. The record is from RNAcentral.
CAGCAGCCACGGGAAUACGUAGGUGGCAAGCGUUGUCCGGAAUUAUUGGGCGUAAAGGGCUCGCAGGCGGUUUCUUAAGUCUGAUGUGAAAGCCCCCGGCUCAACCGGGGAGGGUCAUUGGAAACUGGGAAACUUGAGUGCAGAAGAGGAGAGUGGAAUUCCACGUGUAGCGGUGAAAUGCGUAGAGAUGUGGAGGAACACCAGUGGCGAAGGCGACUCUCUGGUCUGUAACUGACGCUGAGGAGCGAAAGCGUGGGGAGCGAACAGGAUUAGAUACCCCGGUAGCCCCUGUCUCUUAUAC